This 484-nucleotide ribosomal RNA is filed under the name uncultured bacterium. RNAcentral's name for it is "partial 16S ribosomal RNA". It matches the Rfam family "Bacterial small subunit ribosomal RNA", at positions 30 to 507 of the family's 1533-position model. The record is from RNAcentral.
AUUGAACGCUGGCGGCAGGCCUAACACAUGCAAGUCGAGCGGAUGAAGGGAGCUUGCUCCUGGAUUCAGCGGCGGACGGGUGAGUAAUGCCUAGGAAUCUGCCUGGUAGUGGGGGAUAACGUCCGGAAACGGGCGCUAAUACCGCAUACGUCCUGAGGGAGAAAGUGGGGGAUCUUCGGACCUCACGCUAUCAGAUGAGCCUAGGUCGGAUUAGCUAGUUGGUGGGGUAAGGGCCUACCAAGGCGACGAUCCGUAACUGGUCUGAGAGGAUGAUCAGUCACACUGGAACUGAGACACGCUCCAGACUCCUACGGGAAGCAGCAGUGGGGAAUAUUGGACAAUGGGCGAAAGCCUGAUCCAGCCAUGCCGCGUGUGUGAAGAAGGUCUUCGGAUUGUAAAGCACUUUAAGUUGGGAGGAAGGGCAGUAAGUUAAUACCUUGCUGUUUUGACGUUACCAACAGAAUAAGCACCGGCUAACUUCGUG